UGCGCAGGCGGAUUAAUAAGUCGGGGGUUAAAUCCAUGUGCUUAACACAUGCACGGCUUCCGAUACUGUUGAUCUAGAGUCUCGAAGAGGAAGGUGGAAUUUCCGGUGUAACGGUGAAAUGUGUAGAUAUCGGAAAGAACACCAGUGGCGAAGGCAGCCUUCUGGUCGAGUACUGACGCUCAUGCACGAAAGCGUGGGGAGCAAACA
This 207-nucleotide ribosomal RNA is filed under the name uncultured Chlorobaculum sp. Its description in RNAcentral is "partial 16S ribosomal RNA". It matches the Rfam family "Bacterial small subunit ribosomal RNA", at positions 568 to 774 of the family's 1533-position model. The record is from RNAcentral. Lineage: Bacteria; Pseudomonadati; Chlorobiota; Chlorobiia; Chlorobiales; Chlorobiaceae.